GACGCACCUUGCACGGGAUAGGCUACCUUAGCUAGUACUUUACUGCUCCAGCGGGAGGAAGACCUGGCAACAGCCCAGCCAAUGGGAGGCAGUCCCAGCUCAGCCAAUGAGAAGCCACUGUACUUCAGACUCCCAGUUUCCUCCAGUGGACUUUUCGUUUAGAAGGGCCUUCCCUACUUCCCCCUUUCCCCUGGAAAAGAGCAUUCCUCUCCUUUGUUCUCCAGACUUGCCUGUGGUUCUGCCGAAGCUUGCUGGUCCUAGGUUGCAAUUCUCUGCUACUCCCAGAUAAACCCAUUUUUCCUGGCUGCGAAGUUGUCGGUGUGCCUUUGUACCUCAGCCAACUACCCUUUGAGACCCCCCCCCCCCCCAAACUCAGGAAGUUUAAUCAGUCCAGUCCCUGGCCCUUAAAUCAAUCAGGACCUCAUUGAAGUUCUGCGUGAAUCUCCCAAAGAGUAGCCAGCUACCAAGUUUUCACCAUCCUGCCACCUCGGUCCUCGCUUCUGCUAUGUGCACUGCAACCUGGCUUCCUGGGGCGUGAGCUGCCUGGCUUGGCACUUCAGGCACGCUGGGCCCUCCCUCCCGCGGCAUCUGGUGACAACAACCAUGCACUGAAUUAGCUGAACACGAAUGUCUAAAGCCCUGUGGCUGCAUCAGGGUGGCUCCCAGGAGCCUGAGGACAGGUGAGGCGCUCGGCUGUGCAUGGGGAUUCUUGUUUACCUCAACAGGGAAUCAGGCUCCCAGUGCGGCCAAGUUGGGCACAUGACCAGCUCCUGCUGCCACCCGGGUAAUUGGUUUUCUGUGUUCAUUUCAAUAAUGAACGGCAUUAAAGGAGGCUGGAGAUGCAAGGGAGAUACAAGCAUUGUGGAAGGAACAAAGAGAUUUUAAUGUGUUGAGUCGGGUUCUGGGAAAGAUGAGGGACAUGAUAAUCGAGUAUUAAAACAGAAGAGAUUAUGCAGUGGUCCUCACACCAUCCAUCACCGCCCUCGUCCUGGGCGGGUGGCAGAACUGAGUCUGCCGAGAUCCCGGCAUUAUCUCCGCAGUUUAUUUACAUCUCAAAUCAGGUUGCACUGACAGCAGCUAAAGAAAUUCCAGGGAAGAGAUGUAACUGCAUGAUCUAUUUCCUACAGAAAGUGCAAACACAAUACAGACUAUCUGGUUAAAUAUAUCAUCCCAGAAAUGAUCCAACCGCCGAAUGCUUAAGUCUGUACUUUAUAUUUCUCGUUGUCGUGAGACCAUUACACGCCCUCAGAGACCACCUGCCUCUCCCCUUCUCUACCUUUCUGUCUGCUCCUUCAAGACCCCUCCUUCCCCCUUGCCUGAGAUGUCAGUGCUCCCCAGGGCCUGACUUCCACAUUAUUUCCUUGUCUCCAUAUUUGCCUGGACAGCCUCAUUUCCUUCAAGGCUUUCACUACCGGCUGGAUGUGUACUGAUGACUUCCAGACUGACCUUUUGGAGGUGCCCAACACUUGUUUUUCCCUUCUCAGUUAUUUACAUGGCCCUUCUCAGUUAACUACAUCUUCAUAGUUAAAACCUAGACAAUAUGAGGAGUCUGCAAACCCCCCCCCUCUCUUCUUUGUCCUGUAUGUGCCUGGUUCCUGUCUUUAUGGGAGAGCAGUGCUGGGUUCUUAUGACUCCUUCCAGAGGCUCUUUACAUAUAUAGAAGAAAAUACAAAUAUAAAUGC
Neofelis nebulosa (Clouded leopard) is the source of this 1682-nucleotide long non-coding RNA. RefSeq lists it as uncharacterized. The record is from RefSeq and is a predicted model, not a curated record. Lineage: Eukaryota; Metazoa; Chordata; Mammalia; Carnivora; Felidae. The transcript is spliced from 4 exons.